RNAcentral lists this ribosomal RNA (252 nucleotides) under uncultured Fusobacterium sp. Its description in RNAcentral is "partial 16S ribosomal RNA". It matches the Rfam family "Bacterial small subunit ribosomal RNA", at positions 524 to 776 of the family's 1533-position model. Lineage: Bacteria; Fusobacteriati; Fusobacteriota; Fusobacteriia; Fusobacteriales; Fusobacteriaceae. The record is from RNAcentral.
UACGUAUGUCACAAGCGUUAUCCGGAUUUAUUGGGCGUAAAGCGCGUCUAGGUGGUUAUGUAAGUCUGAUGUGAAAAUGCAGGGCUCAACUCUGUAUUGCGUUGGAAACUGUAUAACUAGAGUACUGGAGAGGUAAGCGGAACUACAAGUGUAGAGGUGAAAUUCGUAGAUAUUUGUAGGAAUGCCGAUGGGGAAGCCAGCUUACUGGACAGAUACUGACGCUGAAGCGCGAAAGCGUGGGUAGCAAACAGG